RNAcentral lists this ribosomal RNA (500 nucleotides) under uncultured bacterium. RNAcentral describes it as "partial 16S ribosomal RNA". It matches the Rfam family "Bacterial small subunit ribosomal RNA", at positions 30 to 523 of the family's 1533-position model. The record is from RNAcentral.
AUUGAACGCUGGCGGAAUGCUUUACACAUGCAAGUCGAACGGCAGCACAGACUUCGGUCUGGUGGCGAGUGGCGAACGGGUGAGUAAUACAUCGGAACGUGCCCAGUCGUGGGGGAUAACGUAGCGAAAGCUACGCUAAUACCGCAUACGAGCUAAGGAUGAACGCGGUGGAUCGCAAGACCUCGCGAGAUUGGAGCGGCCGAUGGCAGAUUAGGUAGUUGGUAGGGUAAAGGCCUACCAAGCCGACGAUCUGUAGCUGGUCUGAGAGGAUGAUCAGCCACACUGGGACUGAGACACGGCCCAGACUCCUACGGGAGGCAGCAGUGGGGAAUUUUGGACAAUGGGCGCAAGCCUGAUCCAGCCAUGCCGCGUGUGUGAAGAAGGCCCUCGGGUCGUAAAGCACUUUAAGUUGGGAGGAAGGGCUUACAGCGAAUACCUGUGAGUUUUGAUGUUACCGACAGAAUAAGCACCGGCUAACUUCGUGCCAGCAGCCGCAGUAA